AACGAACGCUGGCGGCAUGCCUAACACAUGCAAGUCGAACGAGACCUUCGGGUCUAGUGGCGCACGGGUGCGUAACGCGUGGGAACCUGCCCUUAGGUUCGGAAUAACUCCCCGAAAGGGGUGCUAAUACCGGCUAAUGUCUUCGGACCAAAGAUUUAUCGCCUUUGGAUGGGCCCGCGUUGGAUUAGCUUGUUGGUAGGGUAAAAGCCUACCAAGGCGACGAUCCAUAGCUGGUCAGAGGGGAAGAUCAGCCACACUGAGACGGAGACACGGCCCAGACUCCUACGGGAGGGAGCAGUGGGGAAUAUAGCACUAGGGGCGAGAGCCAGAUCGAGCAAUGCCGCGUGAGUGAUGAAGGCCGGAGGGUUGUAAAGCUCUUUUACCCGGGAUGAUAAUGACAGUACCGGGAGAAUAAGCACCGGCUAACUCCGUG
This 433-nucleotide ribosomal RNA is filed under the name uncultured bacterium. RNAcentral describes it as "partial 16S ribosomal RNA". It matches the Rfam family "Bacterial small subunit ribosomal RNA", at positions 29 to 507 of the family's 1533-position model. The record is from RNAcentral.